RNAcentral lists this unclassified non-coding RNA (295 nucleotides) under uncultured bacterium. Its description in RNAcentral is "partial contains 16S ribosomal RNA and 16S-23S ribosomal RNA intergenic spacer region". It matches the Rfam family "Bacterial small subunit ribosomal RNA", at positions 58 to 334 of the family's 1533-position model. The record is from RNAcentral.
UACAAACGAAUCAAGCGGACUAUUUGAAAGCUUGCUUUCAAAUAGUUAGCUUCGCACGGGUGAGUAACACAUGGGUAACCUGCCUGUAAGACUGGGAUAACUCCGGGAAACCGGUGCUAAUACCAGAUGGUUUCUUUUCUCGCAUGAGACGAAGAAGGAAAGAUGGCUCCGGCUAUCACUUACGGAUGGACCCGCGGCGCAUUAGCUAGUUGGUGAGGUAAUGGCUCACCAAGGCAACGAUGCGUAGCCGACCUGAGAGGGUGAUCGGCCACACUGGGACUGAGACACGGCCCAG